GGCUAGUCCGAAGGUAGUGAGUUAUCUCAGUUGAUCACAGUCAGUUACAGAUUCAACUCCUUGUUCUACUUUUUCCCCCCUUCUCAGUACUGCACUUGACUACUGUUAA
RNAcentral lists this Y RNA (109 nucleotides) under Saimiri boliviensis boliviensis (Bolivian squirrel monkey). RNAcentral describes it as "Y RNA (ENSSBOG00000005065.1)". It matches the Rfam family "Y RNA". From Rfam's summary of the family: Y RNAs are components of the Ro ribonucleoprotein particle (Ro RNP), in association with Ro60 and La proteins. Lineage: Eukaryota; Metazoa; Chordata; Mammalia; Primates; Cebidae. The record is from Rfam by way of RNAcentral.